RNAcentral lists this ribosomal RNA (207 nucleotides) under uncultured bacterium. Its description in RNAcentral is "partial 16S ribosomal RNA". It matches the Rfam family "Bacterial small subunit ribosomal RNA", at positions 568 to 774 of the family's 1533-position model. The record is from RNAcentral.
CACGUAGGCGGCAGGGUAAGUCAAAGGUGAAAGCCCUCGGCUCAACCGAGGAACUGCCUUUGAAACUGCUUUGCUUGAGUCCGGGAGGGGGGAGCGGAAUUCCCAGUGUAGCGGUGAAAUGCGUAGAUACUGGGAGGAACACCGGUGGCGAAGGCGGCUCCCUGGACCGGUACUGACGCUGAGGUGCGAAAGCGUGGGUAGCAAACA